GAUAACGGGAAACUUGACAAACUCAACUAUACUACGACAAACUUUGACACCAACUAACAAAAUCAAUACUACUGAACAUGACUAUAAAGUACAAAACAACAUAAAAAAAUAGAAUCAAAACAUAAAAAACUCCUUUAUCCAGCUUCUGAAUGUAGUGAUCCUGACUGGAUGGUCCUAGUGUGUCUGUCAUGGUCAAACUCCGGUAAGUAGAUCCAUACCUGUAUAAGAAAACUAAAACCAAAUAGAGUUAAAGAUUUAGAACACUAUGUGAGACAAUAACACUCCCUAUUGGACACGUGCAAGACAUGAUUGAGGAUAUUUUUGCAUAGCGGCUUAUGUGGCCAAAAGGUGGCUAGAAGUGCAAACUCGACAAAGGUGACCUCUAAGACAUGGAAAAAUUACUUUUGUAGAAAUGACUCAUUUUAUAGAAGUGGUCAAUGUGGACGAAAAAAUGGCUAAUUCAACACAAUUGACCUUAAACAGAGAGAACAUCUUGUUGUGGACUUAGAACUUUAAGUCAUGGGUCACUGAACCACUUUUUAUGAAAAUGACCCAAUUUUGCAAGAACGACCGAUGUGGCCAAAAGCGGCUAGACAUGUAAAUUCGACAAGGAUGGGCCUUAAAGUAAAGAGGCACCUAAUUGCGGAUUCAAGACUCUUCAGACAAUUAAACAAACCACUUUGCAAAAAUAGCCAUAUUUUGCAAAACGACCGAUAUGGCCAAAAGUGGCUAGAGAUGCAAGAUUUGGCUACGACCCUCGAAGCCAAGAACCUAAGACUCACUAAGAAGACUGGACCCUAUGUAGGUUGCCUAUGUAUCCCGCCCUGAAAGAUGAGAAUCAGGUAUGCGUAGUUCGGGCAGAUUGGAUACGGACGAAAAUUAAAACAAUAACUAAUUUAGAGAAAAUAUUUUUUUUGUCUUUUUUUUUAAAAAAUAAUGGGGAAGUGCAUAAUCUUUUUGGAUUUUUCAAUUUUUUUGUCUUUUUCUUAAAGAAAAUGUGAAAGAAAAACAUAAAUGGGCCCUACUUGCUUUAUUUUCACACUUCACCCUCUUUUCUUUCUCAUUUACCCUCAACCAUCAUUGGUCCGCCAAAUGACCAUUUUACCCUUAAAGAAAUGCAAUAUGUAGCACAUAGGAUGCAUCAGGAUGGUCUUUUAUUUUUGGGGUACAUCUGUCCUAGACGGACCCAACCCAUUUGUUGAGUCCCCUAAGACAAAUGCACAAGAUGCAAAUAAACGUUCCUACUAGGGAUCCAACAUGAGCUUAUGUUAUUCUAGGUUUAAACCAGGGGUUGUGUUCUAGACCUGGUUUACCCAAGUGGACAGCUCAAGCCGAGAUGGGGGUAACGUACCGGGAGCACGAAAGUCUACCCGGCCUUGUUGCUGGCCCAGCCUCGCUCUAUUUGGUAUAACUUCCAACAGAAAAGUGGGUCACGCGAACGUGUGCGCCAUCUUUUAGAAGACUUAGAUGGGAGGCAUAAGAAUACAGUUUAAUAUAAUUCAAAUAAUAUCAAAGCGGUAAAUAAAUAGCCGUUAGCACAUUAGGUCCACAAAUACGGUAAUAUGAAUAAUAGAUAAAGCCAAGUAAAAAUCACAACACAAGCUCGAAUUCUUGAACCCUAAACCAGAGAUUUUGGGUUCGUUCCCCAGUAGAGUCGCCAGAGCUGCCACACCUCCUUUUUCUACCCCGAAAGAGGCAUAAGGGAGUUUUUUCGAUUAAAGUGACAAUUGAAACGGGACUAUUAUAUUAAAUUCAAAGUCGCCACUUGGGAUAAUUUAUGGUGUCCCAAGUCACCGAUUUAUUUUAAAUCACAAGUCGAGGAAAUUUGACUCUUAUUUAUGGUCUGCGAACACAGAAGACUAGGUAAGAAGUUAUGUUAACCUGGGAGAAAGUGUUAGGCAUUCUCGGGUUUCGUGGUUUUAGCACGGUCACUUUAAUCAUACCUGGCUCAAUUAAAUUGUCUAAUUACUUAUUUUAAACCCAUGUGCAUUUUAACCCUUUAACCAUUUUUUUGCUUAGCUAUUCAUUAUUAUGGAGUAAUUUUAAAACGAAUCACGCGUACGUGUACUCAUUUCAUUUGGCUCGUAAAAAAAAUCAUGUCAUGCAUACAUGUCCACAAUUAAUCACGCUUUAUUAUUAUUAAGAAUGUUUGGCCGAAGUUGUACGAAUGCAUACCUCGGUUUAUUUUGAAAAUCGUAAUUAUGGCACGGGAACGUGUACGCAAUCACGAUAGUUUUAUUGACUAAAAGUGUGUCUGAAGCUACUAACGUGUUUAUGAAUAUUAUAAAAUUAUUUUUCGAACUAAUAAAAGAGGGUAACUAUAUGAUAUUAACGGACCUAGCAUACUCCUAGCGGUUCAAUUAAUUAAAAGAGCAAUAAAAAUAUUCCAAUUCACUUUUAACUUUCAAUCCAAUCCCAUGGCCAAAUACUUUCCAAUAUCAGUUUCUUCCAAAAUGAACACUUGAUUAAGUGUGAAUUUAACGACAAUAGACAUUUUGUGUAGAACAUUCAAAUUAACCGCUUAAUAAAUAAUCAUAGCAGGCAACUAAAAUUCAUCCUAGCCAAUGCCUUUAUUUGCAACCAUAUCCAAAUGUUUGCGUGAGUAAAAUAAAAUAGGUUUUAAGUUUCGCCUGUUUCUAAAGAUAUUUCUAGUAUUCAAUCCUACGUUUGCUUAACGUCCACUAAACCAAAAGUUGCUAAUAAAAGUGAAUUUCAGUGAACCAUACACAGAAUUUACACACACAUCAUGUUUGUCUGCAUAUAUAUAAAAGCAGAGGUACAUCAAAUAAGAAGUAGAAUGAAAUGAGAAAUCAACCAUCCUCAAAUCAAAACAAUAAAACUUUAAUCCAAACACUUCACAAAACAGAGAACAACAGAUUAAUGGAAGCACACUAUUAAGCAAAAUAGAGUAUAAGAAAAUGAGGAACAAACUCAAAAUGAAUUAGAAUAUUACUUGUGAGGUAUCUUUGAACUCAGAAAUGCGACGAACCGCAGACGGGAAUUCAAAUCGGCAUCAGAAAGCUCGAAGCCAAAGCGACCUCAAUCAAACUUGUCAGAGAAGUCGCACAAUUUUGGAGCAACGAAAUGGGGCUUAGACAGCGUCGGAUAUACUCCUUUUUUCCUGGAUUCAAACCCAGCCUUCAGUAGAAGAAAACAAAGAAUAGAAGGCACGUGUUCUUGCUUUUAAAUUGAAAAAGAAAAACGAAGCAACCGUUCUUUUAGCCGAAGAAGAUGAAGACGUGAGGACUCGUUGUUUUUGGGAGUUGCGGCUUCAUGGUUUACGUGACAGCAUUUUCAUGGUGAUUCCCGUCGUCAAGGAACUGGUGUGCUAUGGUGGUGAAGCUGUUGGUCUCUAGGUUGAAAAAGAUGAAGAAGCUAAGGGUGUGGAGAAGAUGAUGAAAAACGGCUGGUGCUUCUAUUGUGUAUUCACGAUUGAUUUUUGUGUUGUCCUCUAGGGUUGGGUCUUGUGUCUAUUAAAGGUGAGGAAGAGAGUUUUUUUUAGGGUAUUGGGUUUAAUGGGUAUUGGGUAUUGGGCUUGGAUUUAUGGGCUAAGUUUGAAUUGGGUCCUAAAAUUGGGCUCUAAGACUUUUAAAAUUGUAGUCCAAAACCUUAGUUUACUCCCUUUAAUAAAGAUUAAAAUACUACACAAUGCAAAAACUAAUUCUAAUUAAUUAAAUUAAACUAUAUUAAAACGCGAAACUAUUUUUUUAUUU
Molecule: long non-coding RNA, 3713 nt
Filed under: Nicotiana tabacum (common tobacco)
Lineage: Eukaryota; Viridiplantae; Streptophyta; Magnoliopsida; Solanales; Solanaceae
Description: long non-coding RNA (NTAB_LNC007375)
Source: RNAcentral